GAGAGCGUGGCCCCCCACACUGGCACUGAGACACGGGCCAGACUCCUACGGGAGGCAGCAGUGAGGAAUAUUGCACAAUGGGCGCAAGCCUGAUGCAGCAACGCCGCGUGAGGGACGAAGGCCUUCGGGUUGUAAACCUCUUUUCUGAGGGACGAGGAAGGACGGUACCUCAGGAAUAAGUCUCGGCUAACUACGUGCCAGCAGCCGCGGUAAAACGUAGGAGGCGAGCGUUAUCCGGAUUUACUGGGCGUAAAGCGCGCGCAGGUGGCUUCGUGAGUCGGACAUGAAAGCUCCUGGCUUAACUGGGAGAGGCUGUUCGAUACUGCGGGGCUUGAGGUUGGGAGAGGGACGCGGAAUUCCCGGUGUAGUGGUGGAAUGCGUAGAUAUCGGGAGGAACACCAGUGGCGCAAGCGGCGUCCUGGCCCACACCUGACGCUGAGGUGCGAAAGCGUGGGUAGCAAACAGGAUUAGAUACCCUGGUAGUCCACGCUGUAAACGAUGUCAACUGGGUGUCGGUAGUUUUACACUAUCGGUGCCGAAGCUAACGCG
This 549-nucleotide ribosomal RNA is filed under the name uncultured bacterium. Its description in RNAcentral is "bacterial SSU rRNA". It matches the Rfam family "Bacterial small subunit ribosomal RNA", at positions 294 to 859 of the family's 1533-position model. The record is from RNAcentral.